CCUACGGGAGACAGCAGUGAGGAAUAUUGGUCAAUGGUCGGGAGACUGAACCAGCCAAGCCGCGUGAGGGAUGAAGGUACUGAGUAUCGUAAACCUCUUUUGUCAGGGAACAAAGUCGGGGACGUGUGCCCGGAUGAGUGUACCUGAAGAAAAAGCAUCGGCUAACUCCGUGCCAGCAGCCGCGGUAAUACGGAGGGUCCGGGCGUUAUCCGGAUUUAUUGGGUUUAAAGGGAGCGUAGGUGGAAUGUUAAGUCAGUUGUGAAAGUUAGCGGCUCAACCGUAACAUUGCAGUUGAAACUGGCAGUCUUGAGUGCGCUAGAGGUAGGCGGAAUUCGUGGUGUAGCGGUGAAAUGCUUAGAUAUCACGAAGAACUCCGAUUGCGAAGGCAGCACACUGGAGUGCAACUGACGCUGAUGCUCGAAAGCGUGGGGAGCGAACAGGAUUAGAUACCCUGGUAGUC
This 460-nucleotide ribosomal RNA is filed under the name uncultured bacterium. RNAcentral describes it as "partial 16S ribosomal RNA". It matches the Rfam family "Bacterial small subunit ribosomal RNA", at positions 338 to 795 of the family's 1533-position model. The record is from RNAcentral.